UGGGGAAUAUUGGACAAUGGGCGAAAGCCUGAUCCAGCCAUGCCGCGUGUGGGAAGAAGGCCUUUUGGUUGUAAAGCGCUUUAAUCGAGGAGGAGGCUACUUAGAUUAAUACUCUAGGAUAGUGGACGUUACUCGCAGAAUAAGCACCGGCUAACUCUGUGCCAGCAGCCGUGGUAAUACAGCGGGGGCGAGCGUUAAUCGGAUUUACUGGGCGUAAAGCGUGCGUAGGCGGCUUUUUAAGUCGGAUGUGAAAUCCAUGAGCUUAACUUAGGAAUUGCAUUCGAUACUGGGAAGCUAGAGUAUGGGAGAGGAUGGUAGAAUUCCAGGUGUAGCGGUGAAAUGCGUAGAGAUCUGGAGGAAUACCGGUGGCGAAGGCAGCCAUCUGGCCUAAUACUGACGCUGAGGUACGAAAGCGUGGGGAGCAAACAGG
Molecule: ribosomal RNA, 430 nt
Filed under: bacterium
Lineage: Bacteria
Description: partial 16S ribosomal RNA
Rfam family: Bacterial small subunit ribosomal RNA
Source: RNAcentral